UACGAGGGGAGCAAGCGUUGUUCGGAUUUACUGGGCGUAAAGGGCGCGUAGGCGGCGUGACAAGUCACUUGUGAAAUCUCCGGGCUUAACUCGGAACGGUCAAGUGAUACUGUCGUGCUAGAGUACAGAAGGGGCAACUGGAAUUCUCGGUGUAGCGGUGAAAUGCGUAGAUAUCGAGAGGAACACCUGCGGCGAAGGCGGGUUGCUGGGCUGAUACUGACGCUGAGGCGCGAAAGCCAGGGGAGCGAACGGG
RNAcentral lists this ribosomal RNA (253 nucleotides) under uncultured bacterium. RNAcentral's name for it is "partial 16S ribosomal RNA". It matches the Rfam family "Bacterial small subunit ribosomal RNA", at positions 524 to 776 of the family's 1533-position model. The record is from RNAcentral.